AUAGAUACUAUAGAAGACAGCGCGCUAGCGUAUCUAGUCUGCUAUAUAUAUUUAUGGUUAGCAUGUCUGGUAACGUCUCUGGCUGCUGUUGACCUUGUUUUUGGAGUAAAACAAGGUGGAAGCUGAAUUAGUGAGGAUGACUCCUGCUCCUGUCAUCUCUAAGCUCCUCACACAUCUUUACCUGCACAUGAGGAAAAUCACUCCUGUAGAAUGCAGUGGUUCAUCAGAACCUCUGGGGAUGUCCUGUGGAUUCUGUGGGUCCUGUGGGUUGCAGGGUGGGUCCUACCUAGACCAGGCUGAUCCGGGACCAUCCUGUUGUCCAUAGAAUAUGUUCAGAGGGAGAUGAUGCCACAUCUGGUCCAGCCGAUGGAUGGUCUUGAAGUUCUCUGACUGGCCUCGACUGAAGAUGGUCGUCUCACUGGAUUUAAGGUUCAGAUGCUCAGUAACAAACUCCACCAAUGAGCCAACAGGGAAGCUUUAGGUUUAUUAAAUGUUGCUAUGAAGGUUUCACUGUUUUUCUUUGUGAAUGCAAUGUGCUCCAACUGAAACUUGAAUUAGAACUGAGAAGUAAAUCCUUCCAUCUGAAAGGAUUUAGUUGCAUUAAUAACCUCAUAACAUUCUAAUUUUUAUUCCAGUCUUGGUUGAAAAUAGAAUCUCUGUAUUGAUUCAGGUAAAAACUGAACUUCACAGUAUGUUGGAGCAAAACAACCAGAUGAAAACUGUGAUGGUGUUGGAUUGUCAGACCGUAAUGUUGCAGCUCAAAGCAGCUUUUCUAUCUCAGUUCAUUCUGACAUUCAGCUAUGAAUCAACACAGCAGAUGGUGAUCCAUGCUGUGGAAGUCUCACAUCUCCUGAUUUAAUGGAGCUGCUUUGCACUUUUUACACUGUUUAUUCACCAACACUUUAUUUAAUAAAAAUCCCAUCUAGUUUUUAUGAGGAAUGUGAUGUUUUAAUUUCUCUGUGAAUAACUGCAGUCUAAUGGAACAGCUGGAGUUGUAACAUCUGUCCUGAUAUUGAUCAUGAAGUAUUGAUCAGAAUACUUAUGGUUAGCAGUCAUCCCUGAAGUUUUACAUUAAAAUCUUUACUUGUGUUGUGAACUUUGGUAAGAAGCAGAAACUUUAGCGUUGCCAUGGAUACAUGAGUGUUAAAUUCUGUCCAUGUUUCCAUUUUGGGAAAUUCAGUCCAGUUCCAGAAUGUGGAGGAAUUUAGUCUUACAAUCACAGACAACAAAUAUUAUCUGAAAGUCGGGUUAUUGUUGUUUAUCAGCACAAUACAAAAAGAUUAAUGUUAGAAAUAUUCCAGUUAAGACUCUAGAAUAUCAUGAUUUAUGUAAAUUUACCUCAAUAAUAUGAAUGUUCAGGUUAAGAUUGUGCAGUGAUAUUAUGUAAGUUUAGCUGAUUAAAGUUUAUGACUCUGCACUAAAAUAUUAUUUAAAUUGACAUUAUUAUAAUAUUUAGGGUCAGACCCUACAGUAUUGAGAUUAAGAAAUCAAAUAUUCUAUAAAAUGUAAAUACACUGAACUCAUUUGGAUAUAUUUAAGUGAGACUCUACAAUAUUAUUUGACACAAAUCUAUCUAAAUCAAAAUUUUAAUAAUUUUCACGCCAAACAUUUACUGGACUGAUUUAAAUAUUAAAAUCACUCCUUUCUAAUCCUCUGCUGUACGUUCAAACCUGAGGCCUUAAAUAGAAACACACAAGUAUCUGAUUGAAGGAACUUCUGUAGAGUCCUGGUUCCAGAACAUGAUGAUAGAAACAAACUUUAACAAAAGCUGCCUGAGAGUUUACAGGUUUUUAUGUUGGAUUUCUUCAGUAAUUUAAUGAGCGUUAUCAGCAAUAAUCAAGUGUUCAUUUGAUGAACUUCAUUUCCUAAUACAUCCAGAAUUGGAGCUCAUAUCUUUUGCAGCUGUAAAGUUUCUGCUCCUUCAAAGUUCACAACACAAUGAAUGAAUUCCUAAAACACUCUCAAUGCUGAAGCAGUGAUCAGUUUUUUUGUUUCUUCUCUGGAGAUGCACAAUGAGGGACGUCUGCAGUGACUGAGAAAGAGUCUCACCACAUCCUGACAUGAGGAAAAAGACUUUAUUGAAGACUACAAUGAGAAAAACUAUCAGACAGCAGACGGCUGCAUUCAAGAGAAGAAGACCAUCAAACAUCCACGUCAGCUGAUGGAGGUCCAAGAGUCUCACCGAACAACCAACCUACAGAGUGAAGACCUCCAAUCUGAUUGGACGGCCUCCUAUUCAGCCACAUGUGUGAACAAAUGCCUCUAAGCUGAUUUGUUUUCUAAAAUAAAUCUAGUUUGAGUCCUAAUCUAUGCCUGUGUGUUUGCUUCUUUACACCGCUGUUAACAGUUUAGGCUGUUAGAUUGUUCCAGAUAAGACAAGUACAAGAUUCUUCAGAGCCGUUCUACCACGAGCCUGACAGGAAGAACUCCAACAGCUACUGAAUGUUCCUGUGGUUCCCUCAAGGCUACAGGAGGAGCCCUAUGAGGACGAGCCAGUCCACCUGAUGGAGGCCAGUCGCUGCGGUUCAAAGCCAACACAGACUACGUGGACUUCUACUGGACCACACGGAGGCCUUCAAACCGGACCAACAAGUUCACGACUCCCCGACUCGUGGGUCUGAGGACGCCGCCGAGCCUCGGUCCAGCCGGCCGCCUGUCUGUGGGUGUUUGAGUGCUGAGAGCUGCAUGCCUUCGUCCACCCGGCCUCCGUUGACUCGUCCCGCCUGCCGUCUCUGGAGCAGAAGCUGGAUUGGAACAGACCAAAGUACAGUCCAAUCACGAUGCCAGCUGCCUCUCAAAAGGCUCCUUCAUCUGGCAGGUGGCGGCACUUCUUCUGAGGGGAAGCAGAGCUGGCC
Long non-coding RNA from Amphiprion ocellaris (clown anemonefish), 2855 nucleotides. The record is from Ensembl. Lineage: Eukaryota; Metazoa; Chordata; Actinopteri; Pomacentridae.